Molecule: ribosomal RNA, 248 nt
Filed under: uncultured Lachnoclostridium sp.
Lineage: Bacteria; Bacillati; Bacillota; Clostridia; Lachnospirales; Lachnospiraceae
Description: partial 16S ribosomal RNA
Rfam family: Bacterial small subunit ribosomal RNA
Source: RNAcentral
UACGUAGGGGGCAAGCGUUAUCCGGAUUUACUGGGUGUAAAGGGAGCGUAGACGGCAGAGCAAGUCUGAAGUGAAAGCCCGCGGCCCAACUGCGGGACUGCUUUGGAAACUGCCCGGCUAGAGUGCUGGAGAGGUAAGCGGAAUUCCUAGUGUAGCGGUGAAAUGCGUAGAUAUUAGGAGGAACACCAGUGGCGAAGGCGGCUUACUGGACUGUAACUGACGUUGAGGCUCGAAAGCGUGGGGAGCAA